Molecule: ribosomal RNA, 2202 nt
Filed under: Shigella sonnei
Lineage: Bacteria; Pseudomonadati; Pseudomonadota; Gammaproteobacteria; Enterobacterales; Enterobacteriaceae
Description: partial 23S ribosomal RNA
Rfam family: Bacterial large subunit ribosomal RNA
Source: RNAcentral
UCCUGACUGACCGAUAGUGAACCAGUACCGUGAGGGAAAGGCGAAAAGAACCCCGGCGAGGGGAGUGAAAAAGAACCUGAAACCGUGUACGUACAAGCAGUGGGAGCACGCUUAGGCGUGUGACUGCGUACCUUUUGUAUAAUGGGUCAGCGACUUAUAUUCUGUAGCAAGGUUAACCGAAUAGGGGAGCCGAAGGGAAACCGAGUCUUAACUGGGCGUUAAGUUGCAGGGUAUAGACCCGAAACCCGGUGAUCUAGCCAUGGGCAGGUUGAAGGUUGGGUAACACUAACUGGAGGACCGAACCGACUAAUGUUGAAAAAUUAGCGGAUGACUUGUGGCUGGGGGUGAAAGGCCAAUCAAACCGGGAGAUAGCUGGUUCUCCCCGAAAGCUAUUUAGGUAGCGCCUCGUGAAUUCAUCUCCGGGGGUAGAGCACUGUUUCGGCAAGGGGGUCAUCCCGACUUACCAACCCGAUGCAAACUGCGAAUACCGGAGAAUGUUAUCACGGGAGACACACGGCGGGUGCUAACGUCCGUCGUGAAGAGGGAAACAACCCAGACCGCCAGCUAAGGUCCCAAAGUCAUGGUUAAGUGGGAAACGAUGUGGGAAGGCCCAGACAGCCAGGAUGUUGGCUUAGAAGCAGCCAUCAUUUAAAGAAAGCGUAAUAGCUCACUGGUCGAGUCGGCCUGCGCGGAAGAUGUAACGGGGCUAAACCAUGCACCGAAGCUGCGGCAGCGAUGCUUAUGCGUUGUUGGGUAGGGGAGCGUUCUGUAAGCCUGCGAAGGUGUGCUGUGAGGCAUGCUGGAGGUAUCAGAAGUGCGAAUGCUGACAUAAGUAACGAUAAAGCGGGUGAAAAGCCCGCUCGCCGGAAGACCAAGGGUUCCUGUCCAACGUUAAUCGGGGCAGGGUGAGUCGACCCCUAAGGCGAGGCCGAAAGGCGUAGUCGAUGGGAAACAGGUUAAUAUUCCUGUACUUGGUGUUACUGCGAAGGGGGGACGGAGAAGGCUAUGUUGGCCGGGCGACGGUUGUCCCGGUUUAAGCGUGUAGGCUGGUUUUCCAGGCAAAUCCGGAAAAUCAAGGCUGAGGCGUGAUGACGAGGCACUACGGUGCUGAAGCAACAAAUGCCCUGCUUCCAGGAAAAGCCUCUAAGCAUCAGGUAACAUCAAAUCGUACCCCAAACCGACACAGGUGGUCAGGUAGAGAAUACCAAGGCGCUUGAGAGAACUCGGGUGAAGGAACUAGGCAAAAUGGUGCCGUAACUUCGGGAGAAGGCACGCUGAUAUGUAGGUGAAGUCCCUUGCGGAUGGAGCUGAAAUCAGUCGAAGAUACCAGCUGGCUGCAACUGUUUAUUAAAAACACAGCACUGUGCAAACACGAAAGUGGACGUAUACGGUGUGACGCCUGCCCGGUGCCGGAAGGUUAAUUGAUGGGGUCAGCGCAAGCGAAGCUCUUGAUCGAAGCCCCGGUAAACGGCGGCCGUAACUAUAACGGUCCUAAGGUAGCGAAAUUCCUUGUCGGGUAAGUUCCGACCUGCACGAAUGGCGUAAUGAUGGCCAGGCUGUCUCCACCCGAGACUCAGUGAAAUUGAACUCGCUGUGAAGAUGCAGUGUACCCGCGGCAAGACGGAAAGACCCCGUGAACCUUUACUAUAGCUUGACACUGAACAUUGAGCCUUGAUGUGUAGGAUAGGUGGGAGGCUUUGAAGUGUGGACGCCAGUCUGCAUGGAGCCGGCCUUGAAAUACCACCCUUUAAUGUUUGAUGUUCUAACGUGGACCCGUGAUCCGGGUUGCGGACAGUGUCUGGUGGGUAGUUUGACUGGGGCGGUCUCCUCCUAAAGAGUAACGGAGGAGCACGAAGGUUGGCUAAUCCUGGUCGGACAUCAGGAGGUUAGUGCAAUGGCAUAAGCCAGCUUGACUGCGAGCGUGACGGCGCGAGCAGGUGCGAAAGCAGGUCAUAGUGAUCCGGUGGUUCUGAAUGGAAGGGCCAUCGCUCAACGGAUAAAAGGUACUCCGGGGAUAACAGGCUGAUACCGCCCAAGAGUUCAUAUCGACGGCGGUGUUUGGCACCUCGAUGUCGGCUCAUCACAUCCUGGGGCUGAAGUAGGUCCCAAGGGUAUGGCUGUUCGCCAUUUAAAGUGGUACGCGAGCUGGGUUUAGAACGUCGUGAGACAGUUCGGUCCCUAUCUGCCGUGGGCGCUGGAGAA